AACGAACGCUGGCGGCAUGCCUAACACAUGCAAGUAGAACGAGAUCUUCGGGUCUAGUGGCGCACGGGUGCGUAACGCGUGGGAAUCUGCCCUUUGGUUCGGAAUAACAGUUGGAAACGACUGCUAAUACCGGAUGAUGACGAAAGUCCAAAGAUUUAUCGCCAGAGGAUGAGCCCGCGUAGGAUUAGCUAGUUGGUGUGGUAAAGGCACACCAAGGCGACGAUCCUUAACUGGUCUGAGAGGAUGAUCAGCCACACUGGGACUGCGACACGGCCCAGACUCCUACGGGAGGCAGCAGUGGGGAAUGUUGGACAAUGGGCGAAAGCCUGAUCCAGCAAUGCCGCGUGAGUGAUGAAGGCCUUAGGGUUGUAAAGCUCUUUUACCCGGGAUGAUAAUGACAGUACCGGUAGAAUAAGCUCCGGCUAACUCCGUGCCAGCAGCCGCAGUAA
Molecule: ribosomal RNA, 449 nt
Filed under: uncultured bacterium
Lineage: Bacteria
Description: partial 16S ribosomal RNA
Rfam family: Bacterial small subunit ribosomal RNA
Source: RNAcentral